RNAcentral lists this ribosomal RNA (695 nucleotides) under uncultured bacterium. Its description in RNAcentral is "bacterial SSU rRNA". It matches the Rfam family "Bacterial small subunit ribosomal RNA", at positions 140 to 851 of the family's 1533-position model. The record is from RNAcentral.
GGGACAACAGUCGGAAACGACUGCUAAUACCGCAUAAGCCCACGACCCGGCAUCGGGUAGAGGGAAAAGGAGCAAUCCGCUUUGAGAUGGCCUCGCGUCCGAUUAGCUAGUUGGUGAGGUAACGGCCCACCAAGGCGACGAUCGGUAGCCGGACUGAGAGGUUGAACGGCCACAUUGGGACUGAGACACGGCCCAGACUCCUACGGGAGGCAGCAGUGGGGAAUAUUGCACAAUGGGGGAAACCCUGAUGCAGCGACGCUGCGUGGAGGAAGAAGGUCUUCGGAUUGUAAACUCCUGUUGUUGAGGAAGAUAAUGACGGUACUCAACAAGGAAGUGACGGCUAACUACGUGCCAGCAGCCGCGGUAAAACGUAGGUCACAAGCGUUGUCCGGAAUUACUGGGUGUAAAGGGAGCGCAGGCGGGAAGACAAGUUGGAAGUGAAAUCCAUGGGCUCAACCCAUGAACUGCUUUCAAAACUGUUUUUCUUGAGUAGUGCAGAGGUAGGCGGAAUUCCCGGUGUAGCGGUGGAAUGCGUAGAUAUCGGGAGGAACACCAGUGGCGAAGGCGGCCUACUGGGCACCAACUGACGCUGAGGCUCGAAAGUGUGGGUAGCAAACAGGAUUAGAUACCCUGGUAGUCCACACUGUAAACGAUGAUUACUAGGUGUUGGAGGAUUGACCCCUUCAGUGCCGCAG